ACAAACGGCACAAAUGUUUAAACUUACGAAACUAAAAAGCAAAAAAUCUAGGGUUCAUCUAACCUAUCCGAAACCAUGGAGAAGAACGAGACUCGAUCAAUCAGUGAGUUCGCAGACGAUUUGUUGCUGAAGAUGCUACACCGUCUCCCUAGCAAAAACGUCGGAGCCACGAGCGUCUUAUCAAAACGGUGGCGAUCUCUAUGGAAAGAGGUGAACACGUUCAGGUACGACGGCAGCACAGUAGGCAGAGAGUACUGGAGAUUGGCACUGUUCAUCAGCAAGCUCUCAAACCUAGAGAGCUUGGAUCUCAAGAUCAACACCUACCGUACGAACAUAUUCAUCAACUAUUUGGUUAACAUAGCAGUCGCUCGAUCUCUGAGAAAGCUCAGAGUCGACAUGUUUUGCAGCUCCUUUGAGCUGCCCAAAAGCUUGUUUAUUCAUUUGAGUCUAGACGGUUAUACUCUUGUAUUCUCAUUCAAUCUCUCUCUCUGUGUUCUCUCACUUCAUCACAGACUCCUUAUCCUUCUGAUGCUACUUCCUUCCUCUCUCUUGAACACCUAGAGAUAUGUUCAUGUUCUUCGGAGUGGUGGAAUCUACUUACCUUUAUACUCAAUGACGCUCCUAGGCUUCGAGUUCUCAAGGUCAAUUUGUUUCGGAAGCACUGUGUCCAGCGCGACGGGAUGGUUUCGUGGAACCAACCAAGUUCUGUUCCUGAAUGUUUAUCAUCAUCUCAUCUUGAGAUCUUGGAGUGGAGACAAUACAAGGGCACAAAGACAGAGAUAGAAGCUGCAAAGUACAUUCUAUGGACCAACAUGUUGGUAACACGAGAAAUGAGAAAACAAAACUUCAUAGACGGACGAUUAAAUGCGGAAAACAACAUUCUUAUUGACGUCAUCAUCAUGAACAUCUCUAUCUUCAGAAUCAUCAUCAUCACACAACUAAAACCCUCUGCAGAACUUAGACCCUUCCUUGUUGGUUACAAUCUCUUUCACACAAGUAAAACACUUGUAUUCGUCAGCCAGCUACUCAAGUACUCCACCUCCAGUUCUUCAAAAAUUCUUUAGUGUUGUCUUCUUCUUCCUUGUUCAGGUGCUUCAUCACAGUUUCACCCAUUGAACUAUUCUUCAUCACACAUCUUUUGAUAUCAAGAUUUUACCCGGAGACAAGUGUCUCCACAGCACCUGAAUCUAGGAAUGGCAAUCAAGGAUCUGGACCGCGGGCCUGGCCCAUAAAAGCUUGCUGUGGGGCGAGAUUGGACAUCCAUUUGAAGAUGAAGUUGAUGGUGAAGAAGAUAAAUCUCCAUCUUUUUAUCGCUUGUUGGUGAUCAAGAUGAAGAACAAGAAGUGUGAUUGGUGUUUUCUUUUUAUUUGUUUUUGGGAAUAGCA
Molecule: long non-coding RNA, 1385 nt
Organism: Brassica oleracea var. oleracea
Lineage: Eukaryota; Viridiplantae; Streptophyta; Magnoliopsida; Brassicales; Brassicaceae
Exons: 4
Source: RefSeq, a predicted model, not a curated record